RNAcentral lists this ribosomal RNA (465 nucleotides) under Vreelandella stevensii. RNAcentral describes it as "partial 16S ribosomal RNA". It matches the Rfam family "Bacterial small subunit ribosomal RNA", at positions 338 to 795 of the family's 1533-position model. Lineage: Bacteria; Pseudomonadati; Pseudomonadota; Gammaproteobacteria; Oceanospirillales; Halomonadaceae. The record is from RNAcentral.
CCUACGGGAGGCAGCAGUGGGGAAUAUUGGACAAUGGGGGGAACCCUGAUCCAGCCAUGCCGCGUGUGUGAAGAAGGCCCUCGGGUUGUAAAGCACUUUCAGUGAGGAAGAACGCCUGGUGGUUAAUACCCAUCAGGAAAGACAUCACUCACAGAAGAAGCACCGGCUAACUCCGUGCCAGCAGCCGCGGUAAUACGGAGGGUGCGAGCGUUAAUCGGAAUUACUGGGCGUAAAGCGCGCGUAGGUGGCUUGAUAAGCCGGUUGUGAAAGCCCCGGGCUCAACCUGGGAACGGCAUCCGGAACUGUCAAGCUAGAGUGCAGGAGAGGAAGGUAGAAUUCCCGGUGUAGCGGUGAAAUGCGUAGAGAUCGGGAGGAAUACCAGUGGCGAAGGCGGCCUUCUGGACUGACACUGACACUGAGGUGCGAAAGCGUGGGUAGCAAACAGGAUUAGAGACCCCAGUAGUC